CGCACGGGUGAGUAACGCGUAUCCAACCUGCCGUCUACUCUUGGACAGCCUUCUGAAAGGAAGAUUAAUACAAGAUGGCAUCAUGAGUCCGCAUGUUCACAUGAUUAAAGGUAUUCCGGUAGACGAUGGGGAUGCGUUCCAUUAGAUAGUAGGCGGGGUAACGGCCCACCUAGCCUUCGAUGGAUAGGGGUUCUGAGAGGAAGGUCCCCCACAUUGGAACUGAGACACGGUCCAA
Molecule: ribosomal RNA, 235 nt
Filed under: uncultured bacterium
Lineage: Bacteria
Description: partial 16S ribosomal RNA
Rfam family: Bacterial small subunit ribosomal RNA
Source: RNAcentral